AGAAUAAUAAAAAAAAGUAGUGAGUAUAUAAGAGCAUCCCAUCGUCUUUUAGAAGUAUAGACUUUUGAAAAGUUCAAGCACAAACAUCAACAUGAAGAUCUUUUUCUUUGUUACUUUCAUCUUCUUCGCUAUUGCAGCUUUGACUUCGGUUAAUGCACAAUUAAACGAAGGAGAUGCUUGUGUACCCAAAUCUGAACCUAAAUGUGGACCAGGAUUAAGAUGCUGCGGAUUCCUCAAAAAAUGUGUCAAAGAUGAAUAAAACCAAACGCAAUUUUGUACUCUUUUUAUAACUGGCGCUAUUAAUAAUGAAAAUACCAAAAAAAUUUAAAUAAAUAAAUAUAAAAGUAUA
This 349-nucleotide long non-coding RNA is filed under the name Diabrotica virgifera virgifera (western corn rootworm). RNAcentral describes it as "uncharacterized LOC126879743". The record is from RNAcentral. Lineage: Eukaryota; Metazoa; Arthropoda; Insecta; Coleoptera; Chrysomelidae.